Molecule: transfer RNA, 69 nt
Filed under: Homo sapiens (human)
Lineage: Eukaryota; Metazoa; Chordata; Mammalia; Primates; Hominidae
Description: tRNA-pseudo Likely pseudogene
Source: RNAcentral
GUAUAGCUCAGGGGUAGAGUAUUGGACUGCAGAUCCAACAGGACACCAGUUCAAAUACAGAUAACCCCU